AUUUUUAGAAAAUAAAUGUUUCUGUUGUCUCCUGUCGGUUUACUUCACAUUUUGAUGCAACAACAGUGUGAUUACGUGCUCAUUUCAUUAAAACCACUGAUGUCUGUGUUGUUCAUUGCAGAACUAAAACCAACUUUGGAGUUGUCUGAUUUGGAGAGUCAUCAUUCUUGGUCUUCCCUCUUAAAGGCAGCUGAUGAAGAACAGGCGGUGACUGGAUGAAUGCUGGUCAAAGAAGAGAACGUCCUUUCCCCUAAACUGAUGCAGCAGUGGUUUUAAAUGAGGACGCUGCCCUGGAUGAUGUAGAAGAUGUCACACGUGCUGAAGGGGCUUCUUCAUGACUACAUCAAUUAUUCUGAAGAGAUCAUUGAAAUUGACAGAAUGCAUGAUCUGUAUUCAUGGACUAUGAAACAAACUGUAAGUGUAUAAUUUGUAAAAACAAUGUUAAAUGCUUGUUCUGUGUUGUUUAGUAGAAGAGUUUACACUCUGUCAUUCAUACACAUGCUCACAUUCUUUCACACACACACAGACACACACACGUCUGUUAAAUGUUAUAAUAUCAGAGUUAAUGUUGUGAUUUAUUUGUGUACUGUCAUGCCAGAAUAGUUCGUAAAGAACCUAACUAAUUGUAAAUUUAUUGUAUAAUAGUGUUUUUGUAUAUUUUUAUACAAUAUAUACAAUUGAACAAAGUCCAAUUUGAUCUUAAGUUAUUUUCAACAAAUGUUCAAUGCUUUAUGAACUCUGUAGCUGUUAAUACCAUCCUUUUCUGCAUUUCUUCUUACAUGUUACUUUUUGACUUUUCUCUUGUUUUUAAUAAAUAUUUUCCUUUUGAUAAUUAU
Molecule: long non-coding RNA, 836 nt
Organism: Carassius carassius (crucian carp)
Lineage: Eukaryota; Metazoa; Chordata; Actinopteri; Cypriniformes; Cyprinidae
Exons: 2
Source: RefSeq, a predicted model, not a curated record